AAGUGCUAGUUGAAUAAGCUGGCACCUUGACGGUACCUAACCAGAAAGCCACGGCUAACUACGUGCCAGCAGCCGCGGUAAUACGUAGGUGGCAAGCGUUAUCCGGAAUUAUUGGGCGUAAAGCGCGCGCAGGUGGUUUCUUAAGUCUGAUGUGAAAGCCCACGGCUCAACCGUGGAGGGUCAUUGGAAACUGGGAGACUUGAGUGCAGAAGAGGAAAGUGGAAUUCCAUGUGUAGC
This 237-nucleotide ribosomal RNA is filed under the name Bacillus sp. (in: firmicutes). RNAcentral's name for it is "Bacillus sp. (in: Bacteria) partial 16S ribosomal RNA". It matches the Rfam family "Bacterial small subunit ribosomal RNA", at positions 445 to 679 of the family's 1533-position model. The record is from RNAcentral. Lineage: Bacteria; Bacillati; Bacillota; Bacilli; Caryophanales; Bacillaceae.